GCCGGCGCAGAUCGUUGCUCUCGAGCGUCAAAGCGCGUAGUCAUUGCCUCGUCCGCAGCGGUGGGACGCCUCGAUUCCUCCAUCCCUGCGCGAUUAUUGCUACGCGGCCCACACUCGCCCAUCUCUCCUUUAUUUCUUUCUUCUUUUCCUUUUUCCGCUUCAGCUGCUGCCGCUGGAAUCGCUCGCGUCAGUCGCCUCCUGACCGCUGACUCGCUGCUUGCCGCUCGCCGUCACAGCCUUGACAUCAACAGCUCUAAUCAUCAUCCAUUGCUGCCCUCUUAUGGCUAGAGUAACACGAUCUGGUGUUGAUCCAAGGCCACGGUCUCCGGUUAACGAGGAAAAGUUAGGGUUCGGCCAAUUCAACAUCAAAAUUAGGAAUUUUUUAUAAUUGGAGUAAGAUUACGAACCAGCCUGCCGUAGCAAAAUAUUUUGUAUAGUGGUGUACCCCCUCGGUUCUGUUCUAGCUCCGCCCUGGGGAGUACGACGAGGAGAACGCACGAGGAGGAGAAGGUCGAGCCGGUGCGAUCGACUACUUCCUCUACAUCGACGCGCGCUACUUCACGAGAGUUCCUUCAACUUCUCAACGUCUUCUUCCGCUGCGCAGCGCGUCGAGUGAUAACGAUCUAUGAUCUAAUACUUGCAUGGUUCCUGAUUUACGUGAUAGAAAAUUUUGAUUUAUGCUAUCGUAGCCUACGAGUAUCCCAACAGCCUCGCGCGUGCAGUUACCAGUACGGUGGCGACUGCUCCGGCUUGCCGGAGAAGACGAACGAGUCUGCCGGCGUGUACGCCGGCGCCUGCGUCGAGGUGGCGGUCCCUCGCCAAGUUCAUCGUCUGGGAAGCUGAGGUUCUGCAGAACAAGGCAAGCUCGCCCUGCUUGUUCUUGAUAACAGAUUGAUGAUUCACCAAAAGGGUGUUAGUUGGAGUAAUGAUUUGCGGGCUGAGGGUCAUCAACAUCUGGUCCAAGAUGCAGAGAUUCCCCGGGUGGGAGAGUUCAUUCUCCUGCGCCACUGCUCCCGCUCCUGAAGUCGUUGCCUAAGCCCACUGCCACGACAAGCUGCGACCAUGGAUGGCGGGGUGGGUAGGUGGCGGAAAUUUCUCACGCCAUGGAAGAAGACGGCGCAGGACGGCGGUGGAUCAUUGGCCGAUGUCACAGUGCCGUUCCCCCAACAGCCUCAUCCUCAGGUGGCAGAGGCAGACACGCAGCAAGCUAGCGAUGGCAGUCGUAGCCACAGCCGUGUACAGGACCGCCUCCAUCGUCUGGCCGCCAUGGCCGCGCGAGCCGGCGUGGCUUCGUCUUCGGCUACUCUCUCCCCAAGGUUGCUUGCCCUUGAAUAAUUAGGCCCUUGAAUAAUUAGGCCAUUAUGUUCAGUUUGGCUAUUUAAGAAUAUUGUUUGCUUCUAGUUUUGUAUUUCUGUUCUUCAUUUCGGGUGUGUUUAGUUCACGCCAAGAAGUUUGGUUGAAAUUGGAACGAUGUGAUGGAAAAGUUGGAAGUUUUUGCAACUAAACAUCGCCUUCCUUCAAAUGGAAUUGCUCUAGUUAUGUGUCAAAA
Oryza sativa Japonica Group (Japanese rice) is the source of this 1549-nucleotide long non-coding RNA. RefSeq lists it as uncharacterized. The record is from RefSeq and is a predicted model, not a curated record. NCBI's taxonomy places the organism in Eukaryota, Viridiplantae, Streptophyta, Magnoliopsida, Poales, Poaceae.